RNAcentral lists this ribosomal RNA (305 nucleotides) under uncultured bacterium. RNAcentral's name for it is "bacterial SSU rRNA". It matches the Rfam family "Bacterial small subunit ribosomal RNA", at positions 335 to 638 of the family's 1533-position model. The record is from RNAcentral.
UGGCCUACGGGGCGCAGCAGUGAAGAAUAUUGGUCAAUGGACGGAAGUCUGAACCAGCCAUGCCGCGUGCAGGAUGACGGCUCUAUGAGUUGUAAACUGCUUUUGUAUUAGGGUAAACACCCCUACGUGUAGGGGCUUGAAAGUAUAAUACGAAUAAGGAUCGGCUAACUCCGUGCCAGCAGCCGCGGUAAUACGGAGGAUCCAAGCGUUAUCCGGAUUUAUUGGGUUUAAAGGGUGCGUAGGCGGUCCGUUAAGUCAGCGGUAAAAUUGCGGGGCUCAACCCCGUCGAGCCGUUGAAACUGGCA